GACGAACGCUGGCGGCGUGCCUAAUACAUGCAAGUCGAACGGUUUAGUUCCAAGAGGCUUGCCUUUUGGAACUAGACAGUGGCGGACGGGUGAGUAACACGUAGGCAACCUACCUGUCAAACCGGGAUAACCUCGGGAAACCGAAGCUAAACCCGGAUAAGCUCCUUUUUCGCAUGAAGUGGGAGUGAAAUGGUGCGACCUGAUGACAGAUGGGCCUGCGGCGCAUUAGCUAGUAGGUAGGGUAACGGCCUAGCUAGGCGAUGAUGCGUAGCCGACCUGAGAGGGCGUAACGCCACACUGGGACUGAGGUCCGGCCCAGACUCCUACGGGGGGCAGCAGUAGGGAAUCUUAGGCAAUGGGGGAAAGCCUGACCGAGCAACGCCGGGUGAGUGAGGAAGGCCUUCGGGUUGUAAAACUCUGUUGUUUGGAAAGAAGGGAAAGGGUAGGACCCUUAGGUGACGGUACCAAAAGAGAAAGCCCCGGCUAACUACGUG
Molecule: ribosomal RNA, 494 nt
Filed under: uncultured bacterium
Lineage: Bacteria
Description: partial 16S ribosomal RNA
Rfam family: Bacterial small subunit ribosomal RNA
Source: RNAcentral